Molecule: ribosomal RNA, 650 nt
Filed under: uncultured bacterium
Lineage: Bacteria
Description: SSU rRNA
Rfam family: Bacterial small subunit ribosomal RNA
Source: RNAcentral
UCCGUAGAUAUAAGAAGGAACACCAAUGGCGUAGGCAGGUUACUGGACCAUUUCUGACACUGAGGCACGAAAGCGCGGGGAGCGAACCGGAUUAGAUACCCGGGUAGUCCACGCCGUAAACGAUGGAUACUAGCUGUUGGAGGUAUCGACCCCUUCAGUAGCGAAGCUAACGCGUUAAGUAUCCCGCCUGUGGAGUACGGUCGCAAGACUAAAACAUAAAGGAAUUGACGGGGACCCGCACAAGCGGUGGAUCGUGUUCUUUAAUUCGAUGAUAAACGACGAACCUUACCAGGACUUGACAUCCUUGGAAGCACUGUGAAAGCAGAGUGUGCCUUUUGGAACCAAGUGACAGGUGAUGCAUGGCCGUCGUCAGCUCGUGUCGUGAGAUGUUUGGUUAAGUCCAUCAACGAGCGCAACCCUUGUGAAUAGUUGUAGUUUUUCUAUUCAGACUGCCCCGGUAACGGGGAGGAAGGAGGGGAUGAUGUCAGGUCAGUAUUUCCCUUACGUCCUGGGCUAGAAACACGAUACAAUGGUUAGUACAAUGCGCAGCGAAGCCGCGAGGUGGAGCAAAUCGCAUCAAAGCUAAUCCCAGUUCGGAUUGGAGGCUGAAACUCGCCUCCAUGAAGUCGGAAUCGCUAGUAAUCGCAGAU